Molecule: unclassified non-coding RNA, 430 nt
Filed under: Hevea brasiliensis (rubber tree)
Lineage: Eukaryota; Viridiplantae; Streptophyta; Magnoliopsida; Malpighiales; Euphorbiaceae
Source: RNAcentral
AUAUACAAUCUCAGGGAAGUAGUUCAUCUUCAGAGUCCUCUCCCAGUCGAGAGAUUUCACCAUUGGAUGGUGUAAUAGAAGACAUGCAGUCGAGAAUUAAAAGGCUUGAACGAUGGCAAAUGAUUAAUACGGUUCUAUGGACGUUUUUUAUGUCUGCAUUUGUUGGUUAUUCACUCUACCAGAGGAAGAGGCAAUAGUAAACGUUAUAGAGUUGAUACAGCAAAGCUAAUGCCUGACACCAUCAGUGACUGGUUCAUUUGAACAUUAACUUAACCAAAGAACAAUUUCAUAGUUUUUUGUGAUCGUCACAUUUUUAUUAGGUGACUGAUCUCCUUCUAAUCGACUUCUGAUUUAUCGCCCUUUAAAUGUAUAAUUUGUGUCUGUAUCUUUGUAAAUACCAACUAAUCUGUAACUGCUCAACAAAUCUGAG